RNAcentral lists this ribosomal RNA (484 nucleotides) under uncultured bacterium. Its description in RNAcentral is "partial 16S ribosomal RNA". It matches the Rfam family "Bacterial small subunit ribosomal RNA", at positions 30 to 507 of the family's 1533-position model. The record is from RNAcentral.
AUUGAACGCUGGCGGCAGGCCUAACACAUGCAAGUCGAGCGGAUGAAGGGAGCUUGCUCCUGGAUUCAGCGGCGGACGGGUGAGUAAUGCCUAGGAAUCUGCCUGGUAGUGGGGGAUAACGUCCGGAAACGGGCGCUAAUACCGCAUACGUCCUGAGGGAGAAAGUGGGGGAUCUUCGGACCUCACGCUAUAAGAUGAGCCUAGGUCGGAUUAGCUAGUUGGUGGGGUAAAGGCCUACCAAGGCGACGAUCCGUAACUGGUCUGAGAGGAUGAUCAGUCACACUGGAACUGAGACACGGUCCAGACUCCUACGGGAGGCAGCAGUGGGGAAUAUUGGCCAAUGGGCGAAAGCCUGAUCCAGCCAUGCCGCGUGUGUGAAGAAGGUCUUCGGAUUGUAAAGCACUUUAAGUUGGGAGGAAGGGCAGUAAGUUAAUACCUUGCUGUUUUGACGUUACCAACAGAAUAAGCACCGGCUAACUUCGUG